This 778-nucleotide ribosomal RNA is filed under the name uncultured bacterium. RNAcentral's name for it is "bacterial SSU rRNA". It matches the Rfam family "Bacterial small subunit ribosomal RNA", at positions 65 to 828 of the family's 1533-position model. The record is from RNAcentral.
GACGGCAGCAUGACCUAGCUUGCUAGGUUGAUGGCGAGUGGCGAACGGGUGAGUAAUGCAUAGGAACGUACCCAUUAGUGGGGGAUAACGCACCGAAAGGUGUGCUAAUACCGCAUACGCCCUGAGGGGGAAAGCGGGGGAUCUUCGGGCCUCGCGCUAUUGGAGCGGCCUAUGUCUGAUUAGCUAGUUGGUGGGGUAAAGGCCUACCAAGGCGACGAUCAGUAGCUGGUCUGAGAGGAUGAUCAGCCACACUGGGACUGAGACACGGCCCAGACUCCUACGGGAGGCAGCAGUGGGGAAUUUUGGACAAUGGGGGCAACCCUGAUCCAGCCAUGCCGCGUGAGUGAAGAAGGCCUUCGGGUUGUAAAGCUCUUUCGGCCGGGAAGAAAUCCUAUUCGAUAAUACCGGGUGGGGAUGACGGUACCGGCAUAAGAAGCACCGGCUAACUACGUGCCAGCAGCCGCGGUAAUACGUAGGGUGCGAGCGUUAAUCGGAAUUACUGGGCGUAAAGCGUGCGCAGGCGGUCUUUUAAGCCAGAUGUGAAAUCCCCGGGCUUAACCUGGGAACUGCGUUUGGAACUGGAAGGCUAGAGUACGGCAGAGGGGGGUGGAAUUCCACGUGUAGCAGUGAAAUGCGUAGAGAUGUGGGAGGAACACCGAUGGCGAAUGCAGCCCCCCUGGGCCUGUACUGACGCUCAUGCACGAAAAGCGUGGGGAGCAAACAGGUGUAGAUACCCCUGAUAGUCUACGCCCUAAACGAUGUCACUGGGUUGUUGGGG